Molecule: long non-coding RNA, 2003 nt
Filed under: Durio zibethinus
Lineage: Eukaryota; Viridiplantae; Streptophyta; Magnoliopsida; Malvales; Malvaceae
Description: long non-coding RNA (DZIB_LNC002077)
Source: RNAcentral
GGCACCAUUGUUUGAGCCUGGUGAACUCAAGUCAUGGUCUUUCUACAGAGCUGGCAUUGCAGAGUGUAUGGCCACCUUCUUGUUCCUUUACAUCACCAUCUUGACUGUCAUGGGUGUGUCUCAGUCUAAGACAAAAUGUAAUAAUGUUGGUAUUCAAGGCAUUGCUUGGGCCUUCGGUGGCAUGAUCUUUGCUCUUGUCUACUGCACUGCUGGCAUUUCAGGUCUCCUUCCUCAAACUUUUAAUGGGUAGUCUGUAGAUUUUGGUUUCUUUGGCUAAUUUUUCAAACUCCAAAAAAAAAAAAAAGGGUUUUGGCUUUGGUUUCUAUGGCUAAUUACAAAGCUUGGAACUUUUUCUUGCAUAUUACACCUUAGGCUAACCUAAUAUCUUGAAGAUGCUUAAGAUUCUUUCGUAAAAGAUGUUUAAUAACCAGAUCUGCAUUUGUUUUUUGUGACUUCAGGUGGCCACAUCAACCCAGCUGUGACCUUCGGGCUGUUACUGGCUAGGAAGCUGUCCCUUACCAGGGCAGUUUUCUACAUCAUCAUGCAGUGCCUCGGUGCCAUUUGUGGAGCUGGUGUAGUGAAGGGAUUCCAAGGUGACAGUCGAUAUGAGUUGUUGGGUGGUGGAGCUAACGUUGUGAAACCUGGUUACACCAAGGGUGAUGGUCUUGGUGCUGAGAUCAUUGGCACUUUUGUUCUUGUCUACACCGUUUUCUCUGCGACUGAUGCCAAGAGAAACGCCAGAGACUCUCAUGUUCCUGUACGUAUUUUUUUUUUCCUUGUCCUUGUAUGUUUUACUUGACUUUAAAUUUACAUGAAACAGAUUAUCUGCCUUUAAUUAAUCAUUAUCUUUUUGUUUCUCAUAACUUGAUUUUGCAAGAACUGUCAUUAAUCGUAGUGGAUAUAACCAUCUGUAUGGGUAUUCUAUAGAUAUCAACUAGAGGGGAACUUUUACUGCCUAAGCAGCAUAGUUUAAAACGAUAGCUAGUUUUCUUAAGUUUUAGCUAGGUUCAACUCCACACCAAGUUGUUUGAGGGGUUUUUUAAUCAAGGCAAAAGUAAAGGAAAAAAGUUUUAAGACUGAAGUCCUCUUAUAUGAACCCCUAACUGAUGACCUCAUUGCAUCCAGUUUGGAUUGAGACCUACCUAUAUGUUAGUUCUAUGUUUGUUAGAUGAAAAAUCUAGCAUCAUGCAGAAAUGGCCACCUUAAUCUACCAUGAUUUUUUAUUUUUUAUAAAAUUAAAACGGCAUAUUGGUACUACAACACAAGCAUUACUUCUACCAAAAUAGUGGUGGGAUAGAUCAUACACUUCAAUGGCCAUAUGUUAGCGACGCUAGAAUGAUUCUUGUUCAAAAGGUUAUGUUUUCUUAAAGAGAAUGAUUAGGUGUGUUCAAAAUCUUAUGGUUUUGAUACUUAGAAUACAAGGGGGAAAGAAGUUGGGAAGUUGGAGAAAUCAAAGAAAAGAAGGUUAAAAAAAAAUCUGAUUUCAAUAUCCAAACAUUCAAAGUCUAGAUCAAAAAAGAUAAUAGAUAAUAUUUAAAGUAAUUCUGAAUCCUUACUAAUGUCAUUUUUACCUAGUUUGAACGUUUUGCUUUUAAUUGGAAUUUCUCUCUAUUUUUCUUUGUUCUUUGUUUUACUUUGUCUUUCUUUUCUCUCAUUAUCUUUCUUCUAAUUCUAAUUCUCCAUUGUUCUCUCCUUAUUGGUAAAAAAUGUUGGUAAAAAAAUGUCGUAUAGUCUCUAAUUCUUUUUCAUACUAGCGUGGCAAGGAGUUAGUAAUUAAAAUUCUUAUUGUGCUUUUUUGUUUAUUUGAAACUAAACCAGCCACCUCAAAUUGAAAACCGAUUGGAACUCGCUGUCUAAUACAUUCCACUCUCCUAAAUAUGCAAAAUUUACUUAAAUUAGAGGUGAAUUUCUUGAAUUGUAGCCCUUUUUAAUGUAUUUCUGGCCACUACAUUGCAGAUUUUAGCUCCCCUUCCCAUCGGGUUUGCAGUGUUCUUGGUUCAUUU